UUACGCUGUUAUCCCUAAGGUAAUUUAGUCUUAUAAUCACUAAAAAUGGAUCAAAAAUUUAUAAAUAAAUAUAAAAAAAUAAAAAGAGUUAUACUAAUCUCUCCAUCACCCCAAUAAAAUUCAAAUAAUAUUAAAAUCAUUAUCCCACAAAAAAUAUAAAAUUAAAUUAAACUCUAUAGGGUCUUCUCGUCCCAAAAAAAUAUUUAGGCAUUUUAACCUAAAAUUUAAAUUCAAUAAAAUAAAAAUUUAAGAAAGUAAAUACCUCGUCAAACCAUUCAUUCCAGCAUUCAAUUAAAAAACUAAUGAUUAUGCUACCUUUGCACAGUCAAAAUACUGCGGCCAUUUAAAAAUCAGUGGGCAGGCAAUACUUCAAAUAAAUCACAAGAAGAGAUGUUUUUGUUAAACAGGAG
This 410-nucleotide ribosomal RNA is filed under the name Cryptocercus darwini. RNAcentral's name for it is "partial 16S ribosomal RNA". Lineage: Eukaryota; Metazoa; Arthropoda; Insecta; Blattodea; Cryptocercidae. The record is from RNAcentral.